GACGAACGCUGGCGGCGUGCUUAACACAUGCAAGUCGAACGGAAAGGCCCUGCUUUUGUGGGGUGCUCGAGUGGCGAACGGGUGAGUAACACGUGAGUAACCUGCCCUUGACUUUGGGAUAACUUCAGGAAACUGGGGCUAAUACCGGAUAGGAGCUCCUGCUGCAUGGUGGGGGUUGGAAAGUUUCGGCGGUUGGGGAUGGACUCGCGGCUUAUCAGCUUGUUGGUGGGGUAGUGGCUUACCAAGGCUUUGACGGGUAGCCGGCCUGAGAGGGUGACCGGCCACAUUGGGACUGAGCUACGGCCCAGACUCCUACGGGAGGCAGCAGUGGGGAAUAUUGCACAAUGGGCGGAAGGCUGAUGCAGCAACGCCGCGUGCGGGAUGACAGCCUUCGGGUUGUAAACCGCUUUCGCCUGUGACGAAGCGUGAGUGACGGUAAUGGGUAAAGAAGCACCGGCUAACUACGUG
Molecule: ribosomal RNA, 468 nt
Filed under: uncultured bacterium
Lineage: Bacteria
Description: partial 16S ribosomal RNA
Rfam family: Bacterial small subunit ribosomal RNA
Source: RNAcentral